This 224-nucleotide ribosomal RNA is filed under the name uncultured eukaryote. RNAcentral's name for it is "partial large subunit ribosomal RNA". It matches the Rfam family "Bacterial large subunit ribosomal RNA", at positions 2268 to 2491 of the family's 2925-position model. The record is from RNAcentral.
GUUUGACUGGGGCGGUCGCCUCCCAAAAGGUAACGGAGGUGUGCAAAGGUUUCCUCAGAUUGGUCAGAAAUCAAUCGUAGAGUGUAAAGGCAUAAGGAAGCUUGAUUGCGAGACCUACAAGUCGAACAAAGACGAAAGUCGGUCUUAGUGAUCCGACGGUUCCGAGUGGAAGGGCCGUCACUCAACGGAUAAAAGUUACUCUAGGGAUAACAGGCUGAAAUCAA